CUUCCAGCUCCAAUAGGAUAUAUCAAAGUUGUUGCAGUUAAAAAGCUCGUAGUUGAAGUUUUGGAGAGUAGUCUUUGUCUUUUCCGGCUUGGGGAGCAAUCCUCUUCGGGAAGGGCACUCUCUCCACAUUGUGGACCAUCCCUUUUAGUUUUUGCGAUUUUUUUCGCGAAAGCAGAAAGGGCCACUCCGUCACUGAGAGCAAAUUGGAGUGCUCAAAGCAGGCUUUACAGCUUUGAACAUAUUAGCUUGGAAUGACAAGAUACGACUCUGGUCGGUUUAUUUUGUUGGUUAUUUAGACUAGAGUAAUGAUUAGCAGGAACAGUAGCGGGGGUACUCGUAUUGAAAGGUCAGAGGUGAAAUUCUUGGAUUCUUUCAAGACGAACGACUGCGAAAGCAUUUACCAAGGAUGUUUUCAUUAAUCAAGAACGAAAGCUUGGGGAUCGAAGAUGAUUAGAUACCAUCGUAGUCCAACGCCAUAAACGAUGCCGACUCGGGAUUGGUAGGUGUUCUUUUUAAAACAUGAACCCUAUCAGCACCGUAUGAGAAAUCAAAGUCUUUGGGUUCCGGGGGGAGUAUAGUCGCAAGGAAGAAACUUAAAGGAAUUGACGGAAGGGCACACCAGAGGUGGAGCCUGCGGUUUAAUUUGACUCAACACGGGGAAACUUACCAGGUCCAGACAUGAUGAGGAUUGACAGUUUGAAAGCACUUUCUUGAUUUCAUGGGUGGUGGUGCAUGGCCGUUCUUAGUUGGUGGAGUGAUUUGUCUGGUUGAUUCCGAUAACGAACGAGACGGGGGGAGUUUACUAGUUUGCAUAAUCUAAUUCGCGUUAGAUGGAACUUCUUUACUCGACAACUCGGUUUUACCGAGAGGAAGCGCCCCGCAAUAACAGGUCUGUGAUGCCCUUAGAUGUUCUGGGCUACACGCGCGCUACAAUGACGAGUUCAACGAGUUUUUUAUUCCUUGUCCGGAAGGAUGUGGGUAAUCUUUUCAAUGCUCGUCGUGAUGGGGCUAGAUUUUUGCAAUUAUUAAUCUUCAACGAGGAAUCUCUAGUAUGUGCAGUUCAUCAGACUGCGCAGAAUGCGUCCCUGCCCUUUGUACACACCGCCCGUCGCACCUACCGAUUGGACGAUCCGGCAAGAUGUUUGGAGUGUUGUGUUUGUGUGAUUUCGAUCAUGUGAACAUGACGCAAAGCUC
This 1194-nucleotide ribosomal RNA is filed under the name metagenome. Its description in RNAcentral is "SSU rRNA". It matches the Rfam family "Eukaryotic small subunit ribosomal RNA", at positions 582 to 1757 of the family's 1831-position model. The record is from RNAcentral.